Nicotiana tabacum (common tobacco) is the source of this 612-nucleotide non-coding RNA. Lineage: Eukaryota; Viridiplantae; Streptophyta; Magnoliopsida; Solanales; Solanaceae. The record is from RefSeq and is a predicted model, not a curated record.
CAAAUAUUCUGCAUUCAUGCAGCAUCCGAGCAAGGGCUGCACCCUAAGGGUUGUGAUCUGGACAGCCUACCAUAAUGCAAGCAUUAACGGUUGUUUCCACAGCUCGAACCCGUGACCUAUAGCUCACACGGAGACAACUCUACCGUUUCUCCAAGGUUUGGACAGAAAGAGAAGGGGUUCGGAACCUAUUGAACAUGGUGGGUAAAGAAGUUAUGAUGAAAGGGUUUAUGGUAGGUUCAUAUCAUAACCACUUUGAGGAAUUCAUAAAAGAAGUUUACUUGAAAGUGGGCAAAAUAAAAUCCAAACACAAAAUCUACAAUGGUAUUGAGAGUUUUUUGGAGAGUUUAGCAUCUCUAUUUUCUAACUCUAAUGUCGGAAAAGUAAUUCUUCAAGUAACUCCUUAAACUACCUCUCCCUUUGCCCUCCCUAUUAUCCUUGGAAUAAAUAAGCAAAAACAAAAUGACAAUAUAUGUCUAUUUAUGCUUGUUAGCUAUGUUUGUUCUUUUGAGGAAAAUGUUACUCUCGAUCUGUAAAAGGAGGUAUAAGGAUGGUUGUUUAUAUAUUUAUGUCAAUUUGCGUUGACUAACAAAAAAAAAAACAGAUUGGCGGUUG